This 482-nucleotide ribosomal RNA is filed under the name uncultured bacterium. RNAcentral's name for it is "bacterial SSU rRNA". It matches the Rfam family "Bacterial small subunit ribosomal RNA", at positions 566 to 1050 of the family's 1533-position model. The record is from RNAcentral.
CGUCUGUAGGUGGUUUAGUAAGUCUGCUGUUAAAGACUGGGGCUCAACCCCAGAAAAGCAGUGGAAACUGCUAGACUUGAGUAUGGUAGAGGUAGAGGGAAUUCAUAGUGUAGCGGUGGAAUGCGUAGAUAUUAUGAAGAAUACCAGUGGCGAAGGCGGCCUCCUGGAUCUGUACUGACACUGAGGUGCGAAAGCGUGGGUAGCGAACAGGAUUAGAUACCCUGGUAGUCCACGCCGUAAACGAUGACAACUAGCUGUUGGGAGACUAUGUCUUUCAGUGGCGCAGCUAACGCUUUAAGUUGUCCGCCUGGGGAGUACGGCCGCAAGGCUAAAACUCAAAUGAAUUGACGGGGACCCGCACAAGCGGUGGAGCAUGUGGUUUAAUUCGAUGAUACGCGAGGAACCUUACCAGGUCUUAAAUGCGUAACGAACGAUUGGGAAACCAAUCUUUCUUCGGACGGAAUGCAAGGUGCUGCAUGGUU